UACAGAGGUGGCAAGCGUUGUUCGGAAUUACUGGGCGUAAAGGGCUCGUAGGCGGUCAACUAAGUCAGACGUGAAAUCCCUCGGCUUAACCGGGGAACUGCGUCUGAUACUGGAUGGCUUGAGUUCGGGAGAGGGAUGCGGAAUUCCAGGUGUAGCGGUGAAAUGCGUAGAUAUCUGGAGGAACACCGGUGGCGAAGGCGGCAUCCUGGACCGACACUGACGCUGAGGAGCGAAAGCCAGGGGAGCAAACGGG
Molecule: ribosomal RNA, 253 nt
Filed under: uncultured bacterium
Lineage: Bacteria
Description: partial 16S ribosomal RNA
Rfam family: Bacterial small subunit ribosomal RNA
Source: RNAcentral